UACGUAGGGUGCGAGCGUUAAUCGGAAUUACUGGGCGUAAAGCGUGCGCAGGCGGUUUUGUAAGACAGGCGUGAAAUCCCCGGGCUUAACCCGGGAACUGCGCUUGUGACUGCAAGGCUAGAGUGCGGCAGAGGGGGGUAGAAUUCCACGUGUAGCAGUGAAAUGCGUAGAGAUGUGGAGGAAUACCGAUGGCGAAGGCAGCCCCCUGGGUCGACACUGACGCUCAUGCACGAAAGCGUGGGGAGCAAACAGG
This 253-nucleotide ribosomal RNA is filed under the name uncultured bacterium. Its description in RNAcentral is "partial 16S ribosomal RNA". It matches the Rfam family "Bacterial small subunit ribosomal RNA", at positions 524 to 776 of the family's 1533-position model. The record is from RNAcentral.